AUUGAACGCUGGCGGCAGGCUUAACACAUGCAAGUCGAGCGGGGAAAAGUAGCUUGCUACUUUACCUAGCGGCGGACGGGUGAGUAAUGCUUAGGAAUCUGCCUAUUAGUGGGGGACAACAUCUCGAAAGGGAUGCUAAUACCGCAUACGUCCUACGGGAGAAAGCAGGGGACCUUCGGGCCUUGCGCUAAUAGAUGAGCCUAAGUCGGAUUAGCUAGUUGGUGGGGUAAAGGCCUACCAAGGCGACGAUCUGUAGCGGGUCUGAGAGGAUGAUCAGACACACUGGGACUGAGACACGGCCCAGACUCCUACGGGAGGCAGCAGUGGGGAAUAUUGGACAAUGGGGGGAACCCUGAUCCAGCCAUGCCGCGUGUGUGAAGAAGGCCUUUUGGUUGUAAAGCACUUUAAGCGAGGAGGAGGCUACCGAGAUUAAUACUCUUGGAUAGUGGACGUUACUCGCAGAAUAAGCACCGGCUAACUCUGUGCCAGCAGCCGCCGUAA
RNAcentral lists this ribosomal RNA (501 nucleotides) under uncultured bacterium. RNAcentral describes it as "partial 16S ribosomal RNA". It matches the Rfam family "Bacterial small subunit ribosomal RNA", at positions 30 to 523 of the family's 1533-position model. The record is from RNAcentral.